CGGACGGGUGAGUAACACGUAAGGAACCUACCGAUAANCGGGGGACAACAUCCGAAACGGGUGCUAAUACCGCAUAGGAAGUUUGUUCGCAUUAACAAACUUAGAAAGAUGGCUCUGCUAUCACUUAUCGAUGGCCUUGCGGUGCAUUAACUAGUUGGCGAGGUAACGGCUCACCAAGGUGAUGAUGCAUAGCCGACCUGAGAGGGUAAUCGGCCACAUUGGGACUGAGACACGGCCCAAACUCCUACGGGAGGCAGCAGGC
RNAcentral lists this ribosomal RNA (262 nucleotides) under uncultured Aerococcus sp. Its description in RNAcentral is "partial 16S ribosomal RNA". It matches the Rfam family "Bacterial small subunit ribosomal RNA", at positions 99 to 354 of the family's 1533-position model. Lineage: Bacteria; Bacillati; Bacillota; Bacilli; Lactobacillales; Aerococcaceae. The record is from RNAcentral.